ACGCUGCCGGUCCUCGGACUUCGGCUCGGCUCGUGUGGCCGGCCGGGCGCUGGUCUCCCUCGCCAGGGCGGAGGUGGAAGGCGCUGGGCAUGCAGGGCGCUCCUGUCGCCGGGGAUUCCAAUCUGAAGGCCGGGCCGGGCCUAACAGUUUUUGGCCAGAGGGAGGCCGCUUCUCGCUGCCCUCUGCGGGAGAAAAAGGCCGGGGCCUUCACGCCCUUGAACCCCCGGGGGGCGGGUGGGGCGGAGGGCUGAGGAUGUGUCGAUGGUGACCUUUGCUGUAGGGCGUCCUGGGGGCCUGGGCGAGACCUCUACCCGAAGAGGCUUCCUAGCAGCUGGCAGGAUCGGAACAGUGAUCUGCCCAGCCGAUGGAAUCCCCCCCCGAAUCUUUUAAGAUCCCCAACUCGACCUGACUUAGGAGCCAAGUGCCGUCGGGGUCUGGCGGGGUAGCGGUCGUCGCCCUGACGGAGGCCGAAGGCUGAAGUCUCACCGGUAAAUCCAAUCCCGCGCCCAGGACGCCCUUUCUGGCUGAGAAGAGAAAGGGCUGGCAAUGGGCCGGGGCCCCCUAAGAACCUCUGAUUCGACCGGGCAGAGGGUAACCGCCCUCCCCUGCCGCCCCCGGAUGCUGCGAUGGGUGCCAGUCAGCGCUUUCGCCCAGGGCUGAUCCGAGCAGGGAAAGCGGCGGUGGCAGUUUGGAGCAUCCGCCUCUCCCCUUCCUCAAUCGGCGGCCUCAAAGCUGCCCAGGCUCGGACGCUCUUCUGGCGUAACUGGAGCGGGUCCAAUUUACUGGCGGGGCUGGGUGGGAAAAGACAACCAACAGGUGAAUUUCCCCAGGCUGCCUAGGCAGGUGAGGUCCUGCUUUUCCUAACGAAAAUGUCCCUGUGAUCCAAGGGCUCCUUGGUUAUUUGGGCCAGGAAUGUCUUUGGACUGGGGAGCUUCCCUCUUUCUCCCCCUCUCUCAGGAGGAAAUGACCCACUUUGCAGGCGCUGCCAUUUAAGCCUUGGGAGUGGAUCCAAAAUGGUUAACUGGAGGUUUUUGCCCUUAAGCCAGAAGGGUUGAGAGAGCAGCAGGCCAGGGAGGAACAAUUCAAGGAGCUGAAGCAAGAAAGAAGCGCUUCCCUGGCCCUGAGCUGUGGAAGGCUCCCCAUUCGUUUGGCUGGUUUGGAGAAGGCACCAAUCAAGAACAUGAGCAGAUCCGUACAUAAAUCCACCUAAUUUAAAAUUCAAGAUAUGUUCUACCAAAACACUGGAAAAAUAUAAAGGCCAAAGUCUUUCUUUGAAUCGGUGGCAUUUGAAAGUGUGGAAACAGCACUGGAUGAAUAAUACAACAGCAAAAUGGGUUAAUUAAAACUGCUUUAUUUAUAUUUAGCUUCCAUUUUUAGUAAUAUCAAUGGAGUAAUUUCUGAUAACUUCCAUCUAUUUUUAAUGAAAAUAAUUGAAUGUACAUGUUUAAAAUUCUCAAUUUCACUUUUAAAUUUUGAAAUGUACUAAACAUAUAUACUGGUAAAAUGUAUGUUUUAAAAAACUUUGUAUAGUUUCUCUUUUUUGCUUUUAUAAACUUUUCCCACGUUAAA
Long non-coding RNA from Pantherophis guttatus, 1569 nucleotides. RefSeq lists it as uncharacterized. The record is from RefSeq and is a predicted model, not a curated record. Lineage: Eukaryota; Metazoa; Chordata; Lepidosauria; Squamata; Colubridae.